Apis dorsata (giant honeybee) is the source of this 748-nucleotide long non-coding RNA. RefSeq lists it as uncharacterized. The transcript is spliced from 3 exons. Lineage: Eukaryota; Metazoa; Arthropoda; Insecta; Hymenoptera; Apidae. The record is from RefSeq and is a predicted model, not a curated record.
GUGUACAAUAUUUAUAUAGACAAUUUUUUAUAAAUUUUAACAUGGUUAUUGGCGAAAAAAUUACGUGCAUUUUUUGGAUUCUUAGAACUGCCUGUUAUUACAUUGGAACGCUUUACGUGUUCGAAAUCGAGCGGAGUGAAGGAGAUGAAUCGCGAUGCAACAUCAUAGCCAAAAUUGGAUUAUUCCGAUAAGCAAAUGGGCUUCAUGAACGUGAAUCGACCGUCAUGUCAUAGAUUGUUAUUGGAAAAUAUAUCAAGUAAUCAAGAAGCUAUCAGGAUCUGGAAAAUACGAAGAUGAAUCAGACGAGGAAUUACUUGAUGUUUGGAAAAUAUACGAAUGAUAAUUCUGACAUAAAAAUCAAGGAAUUCUAGGAAGUGGACGAACCUGUUUCAAUGCCGGAUUAUGCGAGGAUGUUAAUUUUCUGUUAACUCGAUGUAAAAUCAAAAAAAUCACUCGGUUUAAAGAAUCUUAUACAAGUGUGAAAUUUUAUACGGUAUGAUGCGGAAUCAGGAAGUUACGGAAAAUAUCAAUUAAACCUUGUAACUUGAUCGAUGAAAUUAUCGCAUGAGAGCGUUUAAUUGUGAUUAUAGAGAUUAGCGGAUAAAAUGAUAGGUUUUCCAAGUGAUUGAUUCGAUCUUAUCGGCAAAUAUUAAUUUCUAUAUUAUAAAUUCGAUCUUUAGUUACAGGAUGUGUGCGUGUAUUCGCAAAUUUAAACGAAUAAUUAAUUAUUUUUUAUUAUAUCUCGUUU